GGUGAAGGGUACUGCGGAGGAUCAUUAUCGAGUUUUGAAUGGGUUGUCUGCUGGCUCGCAAGGGCAUGUGCACGCCUGUCUCAUCCACUCUCAACUUCUGUGCACUUUUCAUAGGCCGGCUUGUGGGUGCGUUCGCGCACUUGUAGGUGUCGGGCUUAUGCUUUACUACAAACGAUUCAGUUUUAGAAUGUCAUACUUUGCUAUAACGCAAUUAUAUACAACUUUCAGCAACGGAUCUCUUGGCUCUCGCAUCGAUGAAGAACGCAGCGAAAUGCGAUAAGUAAUGUGAAUUGCAGAAUUCAGUGAAUCAUCGAAUCUUUGAACGCACCUUGCGCUCCUUGGUAUUCCGAGGAGCAUGCCUGUUUGAGUCUCAUGGAAUUCUCAACCUUCAGCUUUAUUGAUGAAGGCUUGGACUUGGAGGUCGUGCCGGCUCUCGUAGUCGGCUCCUCUGAAAUGCAUUAGUGCGAACGUUACCAGCCGCUUCAGCGUGAUAAUUAUCUGCGUUGCUGUGGAGGGUAUUCUAGUGUUCACGCUUCUAACCGUCUUCGGACAAAUUUCUGAACUCUGAGCUCAAAUCAGGUAGGACUACCCGCUGAACUUAAGCAUAUCAAAAACCGGAAGGAAA
Molecule: ribosomal RNA, 625 nt
Filed under: Bjerkandera adusta
Lineage: Eukaryota; Fungi; Basidiomycota; Agaricomycetes; Polyporales; Phanerochaetaceae
Description: eukaryotic LSU rRNA
Rfam family: 5.8S ribosomal RNA (bases 220-373)
Source: RNAcentral